AAAUUCCCUUUUUUGAUAUGAAUCUGAUUAAGUCACAAAAAUAUAUUUUGCUUUAUAUAAAUAAAUACAUAGAUUAAUGACUUCAAAUUUAAUUUUUAAUGACUGAUAUUUAAGGGGAAGAGAAAGCACUGAUAGAAAUUACUUAAUCACAGCGGAGACAUUUUUGUGUCUGCCUUUGAGUCAGAACUCUUGCCAGUGAUUACAAAUUUCAUUCAUUUUCCUUGUGAAGUGAACGUCAGAUACAUGUUUUUGGUGGUCUUAUAUUGGUGUUUAGAUAUAGAUGAUAUAAUGCUUGUAGUGGCAUAUAUUCAUUCAAUGGGGUCAAAUAGUGAUCCCUUUAUACCUUUUCUCUUUACUUGUAAUACUUGCAAUUGGUUGCUUUUUGUUGUAUGUUGAUCAUUGUCAUUUUGCUUAGUUUCUUGUGUCUGUUACCUAUUCUUUUAAACUGAGUUUACUGUCCUUAAUGCUGUAUGUUUAUUCACUCCACAUUGUCCAGAGGUAUGGGAUGAGGUUGAGAUCUCAUAAAACAUGUUUAACCCUGCCACAAGUCUGAAACCUCUAGCCUUUGUCUUGUGUUUUUUUUUAUUUGUAUGUUUCUGAGUUUAGUAUGGCAUCCAUUCUACUAUUUGUGUACAAUUUUGUUUAGAGGCUAGCUGAAUUUAAACUCAAGGUGCUGGAUUUUCUUGUUGCGUUGAAGACCCAUUUGUGGCCUAUAGAUGUUUUCUGCUCUUUGGACCGUGUUUUUCUCUUUGAAACAUUCACCUUAUUCACUCUUUAUUCUAUUAUACUUUGUACUAUCAAUUUUGUGUAAUAACAGUAAGCAUACUUUAAUGAUAAUAUAAAAAGCAAUGCCAGUAUUUAUAUAUACUAGUACAUGUUUCACUUAUUUGCUUUCUAGACUAGACUAGGAAGGCAAAAUCAGUG
RNAcentral lists this long non-coding RNA (924 nucleotides) under Mytilus galloprovincialis (Mediterranean mussel). Lineage: Eukaryota; Metazoa; Mollusca; Bivalvia; Mytilida; Mytilidae. The record is from RNAcentral.